This 229-nucleotide ribosomal RNA is filed under the name uncultured bacterium. RNAcentral describes it as "partial 16S ribosomal RNA". It matches the Rfam family "Bacterial small subunit ribosomal RNA", at positions 568 to 796 of the family's 1533-position model. The record is from RNAcentral.
UGCGUAGGCGGAAGAAUAAGUCAGUGGUGAAAUCUUGCAGCUUAACUGUAAAACUGCCAUUGAUACUGUUUUUCUUGAGUAUAGUUGAGGUAGGCGGAAUGUGUAAUGUAGCGGUGAAAUGCUUAGAUAUUACACAGAACACCGAUUGCGUAGGCAGCUUACUAAACUAUAACUGACGCUGAGGCACGAAAGCGUGGGGAGCGAACAGGAUUAGAUACCCUGGUAGUCC